Molecule: long non-coding RNA, 1765 nt
Filed under: Homo sapiens (human)
Lineage: Eukaryota; Metazoa; Chordata; Mammalia; Primates; Hominidae
Description: HSALNT0211538
Source: RNAcentral
CACAAGCAUAGUCUGCUGAAGGGCUCUGAACAUUAAGCUGCAUGCCUUGCUGAGUUUUAUUCCAAAUAGACAACAGCAGAUGGUAACAAUGCACUUCUCAUAGAUGGUAGGAGGGAGGCAGUCUUGUUUCAAGUAAUACUAUUUCUGGGCGAUAAUCCAAAAUGCGCAGUAGGCAGAAGUUAAAAGGAGGCGCUUGCUUUUAGGUUUUAAAAAUAUAUCCCUUAAUCCUGGGUGAUGAUUGACAAUCAUGAUUUAGAGUAUGAGGGGCCUCUCUUUAAUCCUGCAAGUUUGAUGUUAUUUGCGUAUCUAGUAGGGCUUUUAUUCAACUAAAACUAAGUGGAAGCCUGUGCAAUUGAUGCCGCAUUUCAGAAUUGAUUCUUGGCCUGGUACUCUAUUUACAGAUUAGAUUUAGAUAUAAGGGCUAAAAUGUACUUCCCAGGAGACAUUCUGGCUGCUAGGAGUGUGUAGAAGCAUUCAAAGUGGGUUCCUCUGGAGUCGGGAGGCAGUCAAUACUUGAAUGAAUGAGUGGAUGAAUGCUUCCCCUCUAUGAAAGAAGCUAUGGAAGAAUAGAAACUUUUGAAGCUGUGGAGCUUUCCAGGAAGAUUAUCAGCAACAUCGGAGAGCACCCAUUCCAGGAAUGGCCUGCAGAAGUCAGCCCCACUUUUCCCAUCUGGAAACAUCCCACCCAUCACUGCUUCCCCACCCUCUCUUCAUGCCCUCAGCUGCAGAUAACAUACUAGACAUUCUGCCAUGAAGACUCCGCUGGCCCAUAUGCGAGACUCUCCGUGUUCACAGCUUAUCACAUAAUAUCAUUUCCUGCUCUUCACAAUCUUCCUUUCAAAUGCUUUAAGGCAGUACUUCAUCCUUUUUUCAGACAUCUUCUUAGUGAACCAUGUAAGAUUAGCAUCUCAGUGAAUCUAAAUUCUCUUUUCUGCCCAGGCAAGCACUAGCAUGUGACAUUGGGCAAGUGAUUUAUCCCUUGUAUGCGACGGUGUCCUACUCAGUGAACCAGAGGCAUGUGUGAGAGGCCUUUUUGCAAUAUGGUACUUAGCACCAACAAAUGGAAUAAAAACACCACAAAAGAAUUUGGAAAAUAGAAAUUCACAUGUAAGUGUUCCUAUGAUAAUAAGAUAUGGCUCGUAAUUUUGUUGCCCGUAUUGAAGGAGUGGCCUAGUUUGUUGACCAAGUGGAUUUUAGCAUUUUCUUCAGCUCUGAACACUGACUUUAUUUUGUAGUGUAACGUUAGAAUAAGGUAGACAGUGAGAAGGGGGUUGAAGAAGAGAAGCAGCCAGCAGGUAAUGACUGAAGAAACCUGAAGCAUAUUCUACCUAUCAGGUGUGUUGAUGGUUUUGGCCAAGAAUUCACAUACAAGGAAGCCAGGUACAAAAUACCACAAUUUCUUUAGCUGCAGGCGGAGAGUUUGUGUCAGUUCCUUUUUUCCCGUGCUUUCAUCCAUAUGCAAGCAAGUGAUAACAUGUACUAAGUUAAAUAAUGCAUGGUACUUCAACUAUUCUUACUUUCUAUCCUUUGGUUAUUGUAAUUACAUGUAAUUUUGUGACGGAUUUUGUAUUUUUUAAGAAAUCGCACUUUUGUACCGGAUCCAGCUAACAGGAUUUUCUUACAUUACUUCAUAAAGAGACCAUCUUUUAAACUUCUAAUGUUAUUUCUUAUUCAUUAGUACAUUUGCCUGUGGGGUAUGUUCAUAAAUGGGUUAAAGUUACAAAGUUAUGCUUAUAAAAGCUCAUGGUAAUUUGGAGUAUCAGGA